RNAcentral lists this ribosomal RNA (140 nucleotides) under uncultured soil bacterium. RNAcentral's name for it is "partial 16S ribosomal RNA". It matches the Rfam family "Bacterial small subunit ribosomal RNA", at positions 352 to 507 of the family's 1533-position model. The record is from RNAcentral.
CCGCGGUAAUAUUGCGCAAUGGGCGAAAGCUUGACGCAGCAACGCCGCGUGAGUGAUGAAGGCCUUCGGGUUGUAAAGCUCUGUUCUCAGGGACAAAAAAAAUGAUGGUACCUGAGAAGAAAGGACCGGCUAACUUCGUG